GACGAACGCUGGCGGUGUGCUUAACACAUGCAAGUCGAACGGAAAGGCCCUGCUUUUGUGGGGUGCUCGAGUGGCGAACGGGUGAGUAACACGUGAGUAACCUGCUCUUGAUUUUCGGAUAACUUCAGGAAAGUAGGCCUAAUACCGUAUAGGAUACCCCGCUGCAUUGUGGGGGUUGGAAAGUCUCGGCGGUUGGGGAUGGACUCGCGGCUUAUCGGCUUGUUGGUGGGGUAGUGGCUUACCAAGGCUUUGACGGGUAGCCGGCCUGAGAGGGUGACCGGCCUCAUUGGGCCUGAGAGACGGCCCAGACUCCUACGUGAGGCAGCAGUGGGAAACAUUGCACAAUGGGCGGAAGCCUGAUGCAGCAACGCCGCGUGCGGGAUGACGGCCUUCGGGUUAUAAACCGCUUUCGCCUGUGACGAAGCGUGACUGACGGUAAUCAGUAAAGAAGCACCGGCUAACUACGUG
This 468-nucleotide ribosomal RNA is filed under the name uncultured bacterium. RNAcentral's name for it is "partial 16S ribosomal RNA". It matches the Rfam family "Bacterial small subunit ribosomal RNA", at positions 28 to 507 of the family's 1533-position model. The record is from RNAcentral.